AGAAAAAUGGCAGCUGAAAUUGUGAGAAGGGUCCAGCUGCAGACCCGCAGACCGCUCCACGACUCACCCCCGACUACAGGUCACAGAAGAGAGUGCGACGUAAACGUCAUCACGUUUACGUCGGAGGGAAGGAGCAACACUACUUUUACAGAUGGAGCCCUGAGCUGAGGAGAUGCAACAUUUGCCAAACAAAGGGGAGCUACGCAAAGCUUGUGUCUCAUGUGCAGGGACAGAGGACGGUGGAUACAGUGUCUACAAAUGCCACCUUGACUGUGUGCAAAGCCAUUAUCACUGUGGCUUUGUGAAAAAUGGUUUGUCAAGACAGCAACCACAAAUAUUACUGCAACUUUGGCAUCCACAACGACUCCAGCGUCCUCUCCAGUGUCCACGGUGACUCCAGCGUCCUCUCCAGUGUCCACGGUGAC
Long non-coding RNA from Solea senegalensis (Senegalese sole), 425 nucleotides. RefSeq lists it as uncharacterized. The transcript is spliced from 3 exons. Lineage: Eukaryota; Metazoa; Chordata; Actinopteri; Pleuronectiformes; Soleidae. The record is from RefSeq and is a predicted model, not a curated record.